RNAcentral lists this ribosomal RNA (465 nucleotides) under uncultured bacterium. RNAcentral describes it as "partial 16S ribosomal RNA". It matches the Rfam family "Bacterial small subunit ribosomal RNA", at positions 339 to 795 of the family's 1533-position model. The record is from RNAcentral.
CUACGGGGCGCACCAGUGGGGAAUAUUGGACAAUGGGGGAAACCCUGAUCCAGCAAUGCCGCGUGUGUGAAGAAGGCCUGCGGGUUGUAAAGCACUUUCGGUUGGGAGGACUGCUUCUAGCACUAAUAUUGUUGGAAGUUGACGUUACCUUCAGAAGAAGCACCGGCUAACUCCGUGCCAGCAGCUGCGGUCAUACGGAGGGUGCAAGCGUUAAUCGGAAUUACUGGGUGUAAAGCGCGCGUAGGCGGCUAGAUCAGUCGGGUGUGAAAGCCCCGGGCUUAACCUGGGAACUGCAUCCGAUACUGUCUAGCUUGAGUACAGGAGAGGAGAGUGGAAUUCCACAUGUAGCGGUGAAAUGCGUAGAUAUGUGGAGGAACACCAAUGGCGAAGGCAGCUCUCUGGCCUGAUACUGACGCUGAGGUGCGAAAGCGUGGGGAGCAAACAGGAUUAGAUACCCCUGUAGUC